Molecule: ribosomal RNA, 497 nt
Filed under: uncultured bacterium
Lineage: Bacteria
Description: bacterial SSU rRNA
Rfam family: Bacterial small subunit ribosomal RNA
Source: RNAcentral
AUUGAACGCUGGCGGAAUGCUUUACACAUGCAAGUCGAACGGCAGCACGGGGCAACCUGGUGGCGAGUGGCGAACGGGUGAGUAAUACAUCGGAACGUGCCCAAUCGUGGGGGAUAACGUAGCGAAAGUUACGCUAAUACCGCAUACGAUCUACGGAUGAAAGCGGGGGAUCGCAAGACCUCGCGCGAAUGGAGCGGCCGAUGUCAGAUUAGGUAGUUGGUGGGGUAAAGGCUCACCAAGCCAACGAUCUGUAGCUGGUCUGAGAGGACGACCAGCCACACUGGAACUGAGACACGGUCCAGACUCCUACGGGAGGCAGCAGUGGGGAAUUUUGGACAAUGGGCGCAAGCCUGAUCCAGCCAUUCCGCGUGCAGGAUGAAGGCCUUCGGUUGUAACUGCUUUGUACGGUAACGAAACGGACGAGCUCUAAUACAGUUGCUAAUGACGGUACCGUAAGAAUAAGACACCGGCUAACUACGUGCCAGCAGCCGCGGUAA